This 449-nucleotide ribosomal RNA is filed under the name uncultured bacterium. Its description in RNAcentral is "partial 16S ribosomal RNA". It matches the Rfam family "Bacterial small subunit ribosomal RNA", at positions 355 to 815 of the family's 1533-position model. The record is from RNAcentral.
UGGGGAAUAUUGCACAAUGGGCGAAAGCCUGAUGCAGCGACGCCGCGUGAGGGAUGACGGCCCUUCGGGUUGUAAACCUCUUUCAGCAGGGAAGAAGCGAAAGUGACGGUACCUGCAGAAGAAGCGCCGGCUAACUACGUGCCAGCAGCCGCGGUAAUACGUAGGGCGCAAGCGUUGUCCGGAAUUAUUGGGCGUAAGAGCUCGUAGGCGGUUAGUCGCGUCUGCUGUGAAAAUCUCGAGGCUCAACCUCGGGCUUGCAGUGGGUACGGGCUGACUAGAGUGCGGUAGGGGUGACUGGAAUUCCUGGUGUAGCGGUGGAAUGCGCAGAUAUCAGGAGGAACACCGAUGGCGAAGGCAGGUCACUGGGCCGCAACUGACGCUGAGGAGCGAAAGCAUGGGGAGCGAACAGGAUUAGAUACCCUGGUAGUCCAUGCCGUAAACGUUGGGCA